This is an RNA transcript of Abrus precatorius (Indian licorice), 6386 nucleotides long. It is a transcript of the gene named flowering time control protein FPA-like, with no coding region annotated. The transcript is spliced from 8 exons. The record is from RefSeq and is a predicted model, not a curated record. NCBI's taxonomy places the organism in Eukaryota, Viridiplantae, Streptophyta, Magnoliopsida, Fabales, Fabaceae.
CCGUUUGAGGAGCAGUGUGCCUUUGCAAUUGGUGAGCGGUGGUGACGUGGCUCCGCUGUGAAAUGGAAACGGCCACAUAACAAAGUUGUCGGGCUGACAAGUUGCAAGCAAAAUCAAAAUCUCUCUCUCUCUCUCUCUCUCUCUCUCUCUCUCUCUCAGGUUAGGGUUUCUCUUUGGCUCUGAAAAACUCUACACAAUGCCGCUUCCUUCCAAAUCCCUCGAAAGCGAGGAGUGGGGAACACCCACCAACAACCUAUGGGUCGGCAAUUUGCCGCCGGAGGUCACCGACUCCGAUAUUAUGGAGCUCUUCGCUCCAUUCGGCGCUCUCGAUACUCUCAUCUCCUAUUCCUCUCGCACUUUUGCCUUCGUCUUCUUAAGGCGACUCGAAGAUGCCAAGGCCGCCAAAACCACUUUGCAGGGCGCUUUUCUGCGCGGAAUUCACAUCAGAAUCGAAUUCGCUAGACCGCCAAAGCCGUGUAAACAGCUAUGGGUGGGUGGUGUUAGCCCUUCUAUCACGAAGGAAGAAUUGGAAACUGAAUUUCGUAGAUUUGGUAAGAUUGAGGAUUUUAAGCUCUUCAGAGACCGCAACACUGCAUGCGUUGAGUUUCUCAACUUGGAUGAUGCUACUCGGGCCGUGAAAAUCAUGAACGGGAAGCGUUUGGGUGGAGACCAAAUUUGUGUAGACUUCCUUCGAUCACAAUCUACUAAAAGAGAUCUUUUGGUGGAUUAUGGGCAGUUUCAGGCUAGACCACAGCAUUCACAACCUCCAAUCGGGAGAAAUGGUCAACCCAGUAAUGUUUUGUGGAUAGGUUUUCCUCCUUCUUUUCAGAUUGAUGAACAAAUGCUUCACAAUGCUAUGAUUUUGUUUGGUGAAAUUGAGAGAAUCAAGAGUUUUCCUUCUAGACAUUAUUCAUUUGUUGAGUUCAGAAGCGUUGAUGAAGCUCGGCGUGCGAAAGAGGGUCUUCAAGGACGGCUUUUUAAUGAUCCUCGGAUAACGAUUAUGUAUUCAAGCAGUGAGAUGGCACCUGGCAAAGAUUAUCCUGGCAUUUAUCCUGGGAGUAAAGGGACUAUAUCUGAUGGAUUAGUUAACGAGCAUCCACUUCGACCACUACAAAUUGAUGCAUUUGGUCAUAAUCGUCCUAUUGUUCCAAAUAAUUUUCCUGGACAACUGCCACCAGGGGGUGUUGUUGGACCCAAUGCCCCAAUGCGAUCUUUUGGUUCUCAAGGUCUUGAACCUCUUAUCUCUGGUCCUGAGUUUAAUGAGAUGGGUACACACACCAAAUUUCAGGAUGGUAGCUCUAAAAGUCUUACGGGUCCAAACUGGAAAAGGCCAUCUCCACCUGCCUCAGGAAUGCUUCCAUCUCCUAUGCCUGGUAUUCAGCCGCCUUCAAGAUCCACCUCUGGUGCAUGGGAUGUACUUGACAUAAACCAAGUUCAGAGAGAUUCUAAACGCUCAAGGAUAGAUGGUGCUUUGCACAUUGGUGAUACUCCAUUUCCUUUAAGGAAUAUAGAUGACCGUGGAUUAGGGCUUGAACAAACUUUUGCAAUUGAUCCAGUUAUUGAUGGAGUUGGUUCUGGUCCUAAGAGUCACCUUGGUGCAGUGGGCAGUAGAAUCACCUCUGGAGUGCCUGGUUCUGUUCAGCCAGAUAUUGAUCAUAUAUGGCGUGGAAUUAUUGCAAAAGGGGGAACUCCUGUUUGUCGAGCUAGAUGCGUGCCUAUUGGAAAAGGGAUAGGGACUGAUCUUCCUGAUGUUGUUGAUUGCGCUGCUAGGACAGGAUUGGACAUGCUAACAAAACACUAUGCUGAUGCAAUCGGCUUUGAUGUUGUUUUCUUUCUCCCUGAUAGUGAAGAGGAUUUUGCUUCAUACACUGAAUUCCUUCGCUACCUCAAAGCAAAAAACCGUGCUGGUGUUGCCAAGUUUGUUGAUAACACCACUUUAUUUUUGGUACCACCUUCAGAUUUCUUGACCAAUGUUUUGAAAGUCACUGGACCUGAACGUUUAUAUGGCGUGGUUCUGAAAUUUCCUUCAGUUCCAAGUAGCACUCCAAUGCAACAAGCAAUGCAUUUGCCUUCACCCUCUACCCAGUAUAUGCAGCAGAUUCCCCCUUCACAAGCUGACUAUGGUUCAAUCUCUGUAAAGGAGGAACAGGUUUUACCAAUGGAUUAUAACAGAUUGAUACAUGAGGAUUCUAAGCUUCUUCCAAAACCACUUCAUCCAGCUACAAAUGGCCCCUCUUCAAUUCAUUCUGUUCCUCCUGAUUAUACUCCUACAAAAACUGUCUCUGCAUCCCAAACUGGAGUUACAUUAACACCUGAACUUAUUGCAACCUUAACUUCUUUACUCCCAGCAACCACGCAAUCAUCUGCCACUGACGGUGCAAAGACAGCAGUUGGUCCCUCUGCUGUGAAGCCACCAUUUCCUCCUGGUGCACCUAAUGAUGGAAAUCAAUCUCAUUUGUGGAAACAGGAUCAUCAUAUUGCAGAUCCACCUAAUCAUCCCCCUCAACAGUUUGGGAGUAUGUAUAACAUUCCCAAUGCUCAAUAUCAGCCCUAUCCACCUGCAUUUACUCCUGACCACUCUGCUCAAGUGGUUUAUGGCGGUUCUCAUUUCCAAGAUUCUGGUUCCAGUUUGCAACAACUAGGUACUGUUUCAUCUACGCCCAUGAACAAUUUCAUCAUACCUCCACAAAAUGGACAGGUAGCUGCAUCCCCUCAAGUCAGUCAGCCAUAUCAGGUUGAAGUCUCCCACAACACCCAGAAAGGCUUUGGAAUGGUUCAGGGAACAGAUGCCUCUGUUUUAUCUAGUUCUAAGGCAUUCCAACAACCUAAUUUUAUACCCUCAUCUAAUCAAAUUUCCAGUGCUGCUUCACAGCAACAAAAUUUGACACCCUAUCCAGUAGACAAUGUUAACACAGAGCCUCCAAAUCAGCAACUUCAACCUGCUUUAUUUGGGGUUGGCCAGGCCAUGUCAGAAUUGGAAGCUGAUAAGAACCAGAGAUACCAGUCAACACUACAGUUUGCUGCCAACCUUCUCUUUCAGAUACAACAACAACAAACACAAGGAGGGCAUGGGCCAGGAAAUCAUCAAUAAAAAUUGUUUUCCUGGUAUGGCAGGCGGAUUUUCAGCAAGACACCAUAUAUAUGAGCUAUGGCAUGGUGGGUUUCUUGUGGCGGGUUAUUGUGCUUGCCAUUCACAUGAUGGACUGGAACCCAGAAAGGGGGAAAGAGAGAGUGGUGAAUUGUGGGUUGUGGGAAAAUGCCAGGGUUGGACAGAAAUGACAAUGACAAGCAUUGGUUCAGUGGCUGGAAAUGAAAGAUAUCAGCUGCAACGGCUGUGGUCUAUUGGAUUGGGAAUUUGGGAUAGUGUUUUGAGCUGUAGAUUUUGCUGGUUACUGUUAUAACAAGUAGUCUGUUAAUGUUACCUGGAAUGCUGCUUGCUAAGCCUACUUGUUCCUCUCCCUCAUCAUCUUGGUUAUUAGCUUGGAUUGUGACACAGUCAUCUCACCAACAGUUGGAAAGCCUUGUCCAGGUAUGUUGAGGGAAUUGGCUGUGUUAUGUUUCUAAUGAAGUAAAUUUCUGUUCAUGGAAAUCGUUUAUGCUAUUUUGUAGCCUGUUAUAUAUGGUGUGUAGAUUUUAUUUAAUUCCUAGUAUAUAUGGGUAAUGGCUAUGUGCUUUAGCUUUCAUAUUUUGGAUAAAUAUUAAGUCUAGGACACAAUUUAUUAUAGUGGAAAUUUUAAGUGUUUAGGACUGGUAUUUUUCUCUCCAAGGAUCUAAGGAAAUCCAUCUGUUGAAAUUAUGGGGGUUUUUGGUGUUUGAGGGUGGAAGAGAGAUACAAGAGAAUGAAAUCCUAAAUUGAUGUUUAACUGUGAUGUAUUACAAUGCGUUAAUAUAUGUUUUCAUAAAAUUUCUAGUACUAACUACCCAUUAUACUAAUCAUAAUCCUAAAUAAUUAGGAAAUAAAUCAUGACAAGAUAAGGAAAUAUGGUAAACUAAUCCUUAGAGAUAAAAGUGAAACAGGGACGGAAAUUAAUCCUAGGGGAUGAUAAUAGGAUCUGAUAAAGAUUUUUCUUCUUUCAAUAUUCUUGCACUCCCCCUCAAGUUAAAGCUUAAUAAGUUUUUAGUUUGUUACUGAUAAACCCUUUAAAUAAAAGGAAUCUAACAAUAUAACUUAAGAUUGUGCAAUGAUGGAACAUGAUUAUUCUGAGACUAUUGUGGGGCAACUAAUUCUCUUAGUUAGUUAAUCUGCGGGGACAGACUCAUAUCUUUAAAGCUGGGAGGGCAAGCAGAUGUCUCUGGGAAAGCCCUGGAGUUGACAAUUUGACACUUGACACUCUUGGUAAAGCUGUAGGGCUAGAUCAACUGUGUUGCGAAAGCAGCAUGGCCUGGCUCAACUUUAGGAAAGCAGUGUGGCCAGAGCCAGACUAAUGUCUCUACUCACAUAAUGUACAAUUCAAACUAAGAAGAGGAGGUCAUGGGUCAAUGAGAAGAGAAAGAAAAAGAACCAAACAAUGAUGAAAAUGCUAGAAAAGGUCACAGAAGGCAAAAUGCAGGAAAUUAAAAUACAAAGGGAAACAUGAGAGGUUAAGGCACACUAGAGAUGUCACAUUGAUGGGAGAAACCAAAGAAGGAGAUGCCCAAAAUAAGUAAAAACGGUCAGAAGAGGAUAACUUGUUGGAAGGAAAAACACAAUGGAAGCAAAAAUGCCAGAGGAUAUUGUAAGGUUUGACACACAGAGAGACAAUUAAUUUGAAAAAAGAAUCAUGAAAAUAAAGUUGAACUCAUCAUUUUAUGAAACUUAACAAUGGAGUAAGAGGAUGGAAAAUGGGUUAUGUGGGGGAUGGUAGUGGUACUACUCUGAUAUCAUAUUGAAAUUAUGUGGGUUUAGGUAUUGAUGGAGGAAGAUAAAGUAGAAUGAAAUGGAACAGUAAAUUAAUAUUUUCUGGGAUCUAUUACUAUGAGUUGAUAUGUUCAUAAAGCCCAUUGUUCCACCCUUAUUUAUAUUACUAAUCAUAAUACUAACCGGAGGGGGCGGGGGGAAUCAUUAUAAGAUAGGAAAUAUGUAACUAAUCCUAAGAGAUAACAAGGGAAAUAGGAAAUAGUUUGCACUUGCUCUUCAAUCCCCUCUGACAUUAUGUUUUAGGUUAAAAGCAAUUACUGUUUUUGCAAUUUGCUGUCAAUUAAUCUGUUCAAUUUUAGUUAUUGUUGUGUGAUUGGUUAGGAAUCUUAUUGAUAUGGAGAAUUAACAGUAUUUGGUCCUUGGGAGAAUUAAUAGUUUAAGGGUGUUGCUAAGGCAUUGGUUAAGGAAUCUAUAAAUAGUAAGUUUUAUUAGAGAUUAUGCUGGAAUGCCUCAAAAUACAUGGCAGUUUUCAACAAAACGUUUCUAUUUUUUAUUUCUUAACCAGUACUCUUAGGACACUAGUUAGCAUUUUUCAUAGUUUUUUAGUAUUUAUAAUUCUCUCUUCAUAAUGUUUGUACGAUACCAUCCUCAGUAAAAAAAAACUAUUUCAUCAUGUGGCUGUUUCAAAUCUAGUUUCAGAUAUAUAGAUACAUCAACUAUGUAACAAUCCCCUUGGUACACAUGUAUUAGAGUGCUUGCAUAAUGGUUCUGAGUCCUGAGAACUCUAGUACCCCAAUUUGUAGUGAACCUACUUUUGCUUAUAUUGUGCAUUAAUUUUGUUAAUCAUUAUCUUAUUUCUGAUUGAUUAAAAUAAUUGUCAUGAUCUAUCUUUCUCUCUCUUGUUAUAGCUUACCUCUCAAUUGGUUGUAUGUAUACUUAGAUAGCAAUAUUGUGUCUUAAAUAUGACAUAUUAAUUAAGUCUUGAUCUUUUCUAUUCUGUGAUUGCAUCUAAUAAUAACUUGAAGUGUUGUAUCCCCAUUAUAUUUUAGCGGUAGGCUUGGAGCCCUUUUUCCCCCUAGAAGGUAAAUAUUAGGGUUGGGGACUCAUUCACUUUAACUUAUUUCACUGUGAGCUGUAAUUUUCCCAAUGUAAAGAUCUUGAAUUUGAUUCCAAAGAUUAUGUGAAGACACUUACUGAUUAAAUUUGUAAAUAUAGAGUUACCACUAUUUACUGCUUUCCCCGCCAGCCAUACUCAGGGAUCAGUUAACAGAAUUUAAAAUUUCGAUACCGGAUUCCAAAUCUGAUUUUCCCCUUGUUUCUCCUAUGUUUCCUUGUUAUUUCUCCUCCAAAUCCAGUAGGGAGAAUAUGCAAAUUACAAUUCAGGUUUGGGCUAUCAAAGGGAUUAUGAUUUGAAGAUUCUUUAUAUUACUUCAUAUUGAUUCCCACUGAAUCUAUAGCGACUGUGAAUCUAUCCUAAUUACUCCACCAAUUGGCUUUUAGGGAGUAGGUUUUUAACUGGCUAGUAGCUAACAAAAAUUAGCUUCCUCAA